This is a long non-coding RNA of Brassica napus (rape), 1554 nucleotides long. RefSeq lists it as uncharacterized. The record is from RefSeq and is a predicted model, not a curated record. The transcript is spliced from 4 exons. NCBI's taxonomy places the organism in Eukaryota, Viridiplantae, Streptophyta, Magnoliopsida, Brassicales, Brassicaceae.
AUACUCUGCGUUUCAUUAAGUAACCAGCGACAUUUAUUGGGCUUAGUUGAGUUUGGUCUUUACGCUUUACUCAAGUGACCGAGCCCAAUAUUGAGUAACCUUUAUCUCCUCUACCGUGUCUGAUCGAAAUUUAGGGUUCUUCUAUUGGUGGAUUCGAUUACGCCGGUCGAGAUUCUUCUUCAUUAGUCGAAAAAAUGCUUCUGUUUCAUCCCAUUUAACCUCUUCUUAACUCGAACAACCACUAUAUAGCCAUCAAUGUGAAGUUCUGUCUUGCGAGUCUGGUUUUCCUCCUCUGAAAACCAUCACCUCAAUCCCUCAAAACCAACCAUUAAAUUUAUUUUCUGAGAACUGGCUAGCGCAUCAAUUUUCCUUUCUGAUUUGAAGACCGGACGAUGCUCCUCCACCGUUGAAUUGCGGUUGAUCCGUUUCUGGGAGGCCAGGAACGUCUUGAGGCGGUGGCGAACUCAGGGGAGUGGAUAAGCUCAUACUGGAUUCACAGGUUGUUAUGUAUCAUAGCUUGCGUUCAUAAUUUUAAUUUUUUUUCCGGCGUGUUAAAUCCGCCUUAUCAAGUUUUUCUAUUUAGAUAUUUGUUUGACGUUUUAUAAAUGAGGAAUAUUUAGUCCGUGCGUUGAUUGUUCUGUCAUAUUUUUUUUAAUGUUUCUGUCAUGUUGAAUCCUUAUUACCAAGUUUACUGUUUAGAUUUUUGUUUGACAUAUUUUGAAUAAGGCAAUUUAAAACCGUUUGUUGAUUGUUCUGUAUAUUCAUGUGGGUUUGAGGCAACCAUUGCUGCGACUUGCUUGCUUGGAAAGCCUGCAAUGAUAAUCAUGACAUACCAGAAGAUGUAGAUAUACCAUUGUAUAUCGAACCUUCAACUUGAUCACUUUUUGACGGUUGUAACAACUAUAAACGCAAGACGGGUCAAAGCAGAGAUUAUAUGCACACUCAUCAUGAAGUACGCAGAGAAUUGGUUGCCACUAAUCGAAGAUGAUUUGGAAAUAAUACGAGGUUACAGGUCAGGAAACAUUGAGUUGCAGUUCAGUGUUGAACGAGAGAGAACGGAGGAAAGAAGUUUAGGAUGUUAAGAACAAAAGUGAAUCAUAGAAAGCUUAGUAAGUGUGCUUCAUACACAACCUGGAACAGUACCAUGCCAGUUUCUGUUGAGCUAUGCUCGCAUAUUUCGAUGGUGACUAACGGCGAAGCGCAGCAGAGGAUCUUAUAUACCAAAUAAGUCAAUAAGAAGAUGGCACAAAGAGAAAAAAGAAAGUAAUGAUCAAGAAAACAAUUACCAAAAAGUCUCUAAAAGCUUCUGGACAUCUGAUUUAUCUGGGAAUGCUUCUAAGGAUCUGCUGCUAAUGCAUAAAUCGGUGCAAAUACUGUCAGAUUUGUGAUAAGUCUUAUGAAGCUAAACAGAGGCGUGAAGACAUGAAGACAUCCUGUUAAUUUCAAUGAUACACGUACAUUAUAAACCGAUGUCGAAAUAUAUUGAAAUUUUUUGUAAUGCUCAGGUUUAAUUAUUAAAAUAUGAUAUUUUUACUAAUUAGAGUUACAUUUCUC